RNAcentral lists this ribosomal RNA (497 nucleotides) under uncultured bacterium. Its description in RNAcentral is "partial 16S ribosomal RNA". It matches the Rfam family "Bacterial small subunit ribosomal RNA", at positions 28 to 507 of the family's 1533-position model. The record is from RNAcentral.
GACGAACGCUGGCGGCGUGCCUAAUACAUGCAAGUAGAACGCUGAAGAGAGGAGCUUGCUCUUCUUGGAUGAGUUGCGAACGGGUGAGUAACGCGUAGGUAACCUGCCUUGUAGCGGGGGAUAACUAUUGGAAACGAUAGCUAAUACCGCAUAACAAUGGAUGACACAUGUCAUUUAUUUGAAAGGGGCAAUUGCUCCACUACAAGAUGGACCUGCGUUGUAUUAGCUAGUAGGUGAGGUAAUGGCUCACCUAGGCGACGAUACAUAGCCGACCUGAGAGGGUGAUCGGCCAACCUGGGACUGAGACACGGCCCAGACUCCUACGGGAGGCAGCAGUAGGGAAUCUUCGGCAAUGGGGGCAACCCUGACCGAGCAACGCCGCGUGAGUGAAGAAGGUUUUCGGAUCGUAAAGCUCUGUUGUAAGUCAAGAACGGGUGUGAGAGUGGAAAGUUCACACUGUGACGGUAGCUUACCAGAAAGGGACGGCUAACUACGUG